GGUUGUUUGGCCGAGCGGUCUAAGGCGCCUGAUUCAAGCUCAGGUAUCGUUUGAUGCAAGAGUUCGAAUCUCUUAGCAACCA
Molecule: transfer RNA, 82 nt
Filed under: Saccharomyces uvarum
Lineage: Eukaryota; Fungi; Ascomycota; Saccharomycetes; Saccharomycetales; Saccharomycetaceae
Description: tRNA-Leu
Rfam family: tRNA
About the family: Transfer RNA (tRNA) molecules are approximately 80 nucleotides in length. Their secondary structure includes four short double-helical elements and three loops (D, anti-codon, and T loops). Further hydrogen bonds mediate the characteristic L-shaped molecular structure. tRNAs have two regions of fundamental functional importance: the anti-codon, which is responsible for specific mRNA codon recognition, and the 3' end, to which the tRNAs corresponding amino acid is attached (by aminoacyl-tRNA synthetases). tRNAs cope with the degeneracy of the genetic code in two manners: having more than one tRNA (with a specific anti-codon) for a particular amino acid; and 'wobble' base-pairing, i.e. permitting non-standard base-pairing at the 3rd anti-codon position.
Source: RNAcentral